GAGUUCAUGCCCUUCGGGGUAGAUCUCCCACCCUUUGUAUACUAUACCUUUGUUGCUUUGGCGGGCCGCCUAGCUACUGGCUUCGGCUGGUAAGUGCCCGCCAGGGGACCACAACUCUUGUUUUUAGUGAUGUCUGAGUACUAUAUAAUAGUUAAAACUUUCAACCACGGAUCUCUUGGUUCU
Molecule: unclassified non-coding RNA, 183 nt
Filed under: rhizosphere metagenome
Description: partial ribosomal RNA internal transcribed spacer region
Source: RNAcentral